GCGAAAACUUUACAAUGCUGGCAACAGCGAUAAGGGAACCUCGAGUGCCAGGUUACAAAUCUGGCUGUCGAGAUGCCUAAAAAGCAUUUCAUAGCAAGGGCCGGGCAAGACCGGUGCCAGCCGCCGCGGUAACACCGGCGGCUCGAGUGGUAACCGUUAUUAUUGGGUCUAAAGGGUCUGUAGCCGGCAGGAUAAGUCUCUUGAGAAAUCUGGCAGCUUAACUGUCAGGCUUUCAGGAGAUACUGUCUGGCUCGAGACCGGGAGAGGUGAGAGGUACUUCAGGGGUAGGGGUGAGAUCUUGUAAUCCUUGAAGGACCACCAGUGGAGAAGGCGUCUCACCAGAACGGACCUGACGGCAAGGGACGAAAGCUAGGGGCACGAACC
RNAcentral lists this ribosomal RNA (384 nucleotides) under uncultured prokaryote. Its description in RNAcentral is "bacterial SSU rRNA". It matches the Rfam family "Archaeal small subunit ribosomal RNA", at positions 341 to 725 of the family's 1478-position model. The record is from RNAcentral.